RNAcentral lists this ribosomal RNA (400 nucleotides) under uncultured bacterium. RNAcentral's name for it is "bacterial SSU rRNA". It matches the Rfam family "Bacterial small subunit ribosomal RNA", at positions 355 to 747 of the family's 1533-position model. The record is from RNAcentral.
UAGGGAAUCUUCCACAAUGGACGGAAGUCUGAUGGAGCAACGCCGCGUGAGCGAAGAAGGUCUUCGGAUCGUAAAGCUCUGUUGUAAGGGAAGAAUAAGUACAGUAGUAACUGGCUGUACCUUGACGGUACCUUACGAGAAAGCCACGGCUAACUACGUGCCAGCAGCCGCGGUAAUACGUAGGUGGCAAGCGUUGUCCGGAAUUAUUGGGCGUAAAGCGCGCGCAGGCGGCCUUUUAAGUCUGAUGUGAAAGCCCCCGGCUUAACCGGGGAGGGUCAUUGGAAACUGGGAGGCUUGAGUGCAGAAGAGGAAAGUGGAAUUCCAAGUGUAGCGGUGAAAUGCGUAGAGAUUUGGAGGAACACCAGUGGCGAAGGCGACUUUCUGGUCUGUUACUGACGCU